CAGUAGCCGCGGGAAUACAGAGGGUGCAAGCGUUAAUCGGAUUUACUGGGCGUAAAGGGCGCGUAGGUGGUUAUGUAAGUGAGAUGUGAAAUCCCCGGGCUCAACCUGGGAACUGCAUCUUAUACUGCGUAGCUGGAGUGCAGUAGAGGGUAGUGGAAUUUCCGGUGUAGCGGUGAAACGCGUAGAUAUCGGAAGGAACACCAGUGGCGAAGGCGGCUACCUGGACUGACACUGACACUGAGGCGCGAAAGCGUGGGGAGCAAACAGGAUUAGAUACCCGCGUAGUUCCUGUCUCUUAUAC
This 301-nucleotide ribosomal RNA is filed under the name uncultured bacterium. Its description in RNAcentral is "partial 16S ribosomal RNA". It matches the Rfam family "Bacterial small subunit ribosomal RNA", at positions 509 to 807 of the family's 1533-position model. The record is from RNAcentral.